RNAcentral lists this transfer RNA (65 nucleotides) under Rhynchothorax sp. JZ-2022. RNAcentral describes it as "tRNA-Gly". Lineage: Eukaryota; Metazoa; Arthropoda; Pycnogonida; Pantopoda; Tanystylidae. The record is from RNAcentral.
ACUUUUUAAGUAUUUGUAGUAUAUUCGAUUUCCAAUCGAAAGGAUUAAUAAAAUUAAAAGAAGUA